RNAcentral lists this ribosomal RNA (301 nucleotides) under uncultured bacterium. Its description in RNAcentral is "partial 16S ribosomal RNA". It matches the Rfam family "Bacterial small subunit ribosomal RNA", at positions 509 to 807 of the family's 1533-position model. The record is from RNAcentral.
CAGCCGCCGCGGUAAUACGAAGGGGGCUAGCGUUGUUCGGAUUUACUGGGCGUAAAGCGCACGUAGGCGGGCUUUUAAGUCAGGGGUGAAAUCCCGGGGCUCAACCCCGGAACUGCCUUUGAUACUGGAAGUCUUGAGUAUGGAAGAGGUGAGUGGAAUUCCGAGUGUAGAUGUGAAAUUCGUAGAUAUUCGGAGGAACACCGGUGGCGAAGGCGGCUCACUGGUCCAUUACUGACGCUGAGGUGCGAAAGCGUGGGGAGCAAACAGGAUUAGAUACCCCCGUAGUCCCUGUCUCUUAUAC